Prunus mume (Japanese apricot) is the source of this 472-nucleotide non-coding RNA. Lineage: Eukaryota; Viridiplantae; Streptophyta; Magnoliopsida; Rosales; Rosaceae. The record is from RefSeq and is a predicted model, not a curated record.
CAUCCAGCCUGCCAGUUUAUGGUUUCUGACGAGAGCUUUCAUGUAAACAAUUAUUAAUCCGAAGUCGAAACCAAAUCGUUUGUCAACCUACGUGAUGAUGAAGAUAUAGUUAUUUACAAGACAACAUUGAGAACCAGGCCCAAAGCAUUUAUGAAGACAACUUGGCACCUCCCCGUCUCCUAUAGACCAAGAUGUCCAGAACCCAGAAUUAUAUACUUGGAAAGAAACUUCUAAGCUAUACCCCAUGGUCCUGCAUCACCAGUAUUUUACACCAAACAAUUUAUGCAUCAAUGUAUGGAUUACACAAUCUAAUCCUCUGAUCCAAGCCAUAUUUAGAAAAUUCAUUGGCCUUUGAACCACUCUAACAUACUUUUAUGAGUAUUCAAUCAUGUGUCGGGCUACUUAACCCAAUGGUUCUCUAUCUAUCUGUCAAAAUUCCACAACAAUAAGAUGCCAAUUUGGAGUAAUUGUU